This 116-nucleotide ribosomal RNA is filed under the name Mus pahari (shrew mouse). The record is from RNAcentral. Lineage: Eukaryota; Metazoa; Chordata; Mammalia; Rodentia; Muridae.
UACAGCCAUACCAUCUUGAGUGUCUGAUCCCUUCUGAACUUAGAAGCUAAGCAGGGUCGGGUCUGGUUAGUCCUUGGAUGGGAGAACUCGGAGGACAGGUUUGCACAGUGCUGGAG